CGACCAGUUAGAAGUAAAAACAUAUGUUGUAGAUCACUUGAAUCAUUCAAAGAACUUACUUCUUCCUGUACCCUGUGACAAACACUCUCUUGCAACCAAUAGCUGAAUUCUGCUCUCCUUAUCAAUGGAAGUGCUUCUGGAUCAACAUCUGCAGCAGUUUCUCUCGCAUCAGGUAUCAUAUCUUCCUCAUCCUCAUCUUCAAGAGACUUUAAUUGCCCACUCAAUUGUCUUGUCGAGAAAAGCACUUUUAUUAAUUCCCAAAUCAUUGCUUGGUGCAUCAGAAGAACACGGGAUGCUGGAGAUAAGUCAGGAACCUCCAAUUGCCUCUCAAUGACACCAAUAUAGCUCCGACAUACAUCUGAAAGUAUUAGACGAUCACACACAAGUCUUUGAAGCUUUAACACAAAGGUUCCCUCCCCGAACUCUUUGGUUUCAUGAGUAAUUUCCUUGUGAAG
Molecule: unclassified non-coding RNA, 455 nt
Filed under: Hevea brasiliensis (rubber tree)
Lineage: Eukaryota; Viridiplantae; Streptophyta; Magnoliopsida; Malpighiales; Euphorbiaceae
Source: RNAcentral